AUCCUCCAGAGGCCAAUUUCCAUUAAUUUGGUUCUUUGUGAUCCUCAGGACUGACCCUGAUAACUCCUACAACCCCACCUGCAGCAGAAGGAGCCAGGGGAGCCCUCCAGUUGUAUUUCUUCACUGUCAUGGCUCUUCAGCACUCAAGGACAGUAAUUGAAUGUGAAAAUUCCAUCUGUUCCUGCAGCAUCCAGGCAGCGUCUCCUCCCAGCCAGAUCAGGGUCUACUGUUUGCACAAACGGAUUGGAGCUGCAGUGGCAGCAGCCAGUCAUGUGUGGUGUUUGAGAGAGGAGAGGAGAGAGAGAAAAAGGCCUUCUCCUGCACAGUUCCCUCAGUUUUCCAUCCUUGAUGUACUGUGGACAUGCCAGUCCCCUAUUCAGCUGGAGGAGGUGUCCUUGGGUUGGCUUCUGUGAGAAAGCCAGGUUAAAAAUGAGCCAUGUGAAGAGGAUUAGAGUGGACUCAAACACCUCCUGGUUUUAAUAUAUCAAAGCCCUGACAGAGUAUAUAUCUGUUGCUCCAGCUGAGCUGGGGAGGUGCAGCCCAGAGGCAGACUGUGUGGGGGAAAUUUCAAACCAAUGGGUAUCUAAUCAUAUAUAUUUAUGUCCCCUCACUCCCUUGUCUGUGCUGCAUGUUUAUUGAUGUAGUGCCAGAGGAGUGCAGAGCCUUGCUGAUCUAUGCUCUUGUCUAAGGCUGUCAGCCAAACCUCCCAGGGGAGCAUUGGCCAGUGGCUGAGGAGGGACAUUUGCUGCUCCUGCUCCAUCCUGCAGCCAUCCACACCACCUAAAAACACCUGGCAGUGCGAAGCAUAGAUCUUCACAGCGACUCAGGCACGUGGGGAAAGCGCUGCUGUUCUCCAGAAAUAUUUCCAGGUGAGGUAACAGGGCUGUGCUCAAAGCAGGGCCCUUCCAGGAGCACGGCAGGACUUGCUGGGUGUUUCCUUUGCCAGGCAGCCUGGAUGUGAAGACCUCUGUGGGGGAUCCCUGUGACUCUGCUGCAGGGACAUUUUGGUUGGACAAGUUUAGGUAUGUAAUGCUAA
This 1036-nucleotide long non-coding RNA is filed under the name Cyanistes caeruleus (blue tit). RNAcentral's name for it is "lncRNA (ENSCCEG00000011498.1)". The record is from RNAcentral. Lineage: Eukaryota; Metazoa; Chordata; Aves; Passeriformes; Paridae.